Long non-coding RNA from Bos taurus (domestic cattle), 979 nucleotides. NCBI's taxonomy places the organism in Eukaryota, Metazoa, Chordata, Mammalia, Artiodactyla, Bovidae. The record is from Ensembl.
GGGCAAUUAUGUAAGGAUAGAGGACAAACAGGUAUCUAGAAUGAUUCCCAGUUUUCUAACUUGGAAAGUCAAAUAAACAGUGACCAGGAAUUCAAAUAGAGAUUUGAGAAUGAUGAGCAAAUCGAAGGGUGGGGAAGGGUAGAUCUUUGGGAAGUCCAAUCUGUCUUCCCAAGCCCUCUGACAGUGUGCUCAGCCUUCGCCGUUUCCCCUGUGAUCUCGCCAAGCUUGUUGCGGCUGCUGCUAAGUCACUUCAGCAGUGUGCGACCCCAUAGACGGCAGCCCACCAGGCUCCCCCGUCCCUGGGACUCUCCAGGCAAGAACACUGGAGUCGGUUGCCAUUUCCUUCUCCAAUGCAUGAAAGUGAAAAGUGAAAGUGAAGUCGCUCAGUCGUGUCAGACUCUUAGCGACCCCAUGGACUGCAGCCCACCAGGCUCCUCCAUCCAUGGGAUUUUCCAGGCGAGAGUUCUGGAGUGGGGUGCCAUUGCCUUCUCCAAGCUUGUUGUUAGGGCAGUUCUAGUCAUAGGCCUUCCUUUAGGGCAGUUGUUCUCAAACUUUAGCAUGUAUCAGAAUCAUCUGAAGUGUUUGUUAAAAACAGAUUUCUAGGCUUUUUCCCUUGAGUCUGAUUGAGUAGAUCUGAGGUGGGACUCUAGAAUUAGUAUUUCCAACUGUAUGUCUAUAACAAAUUUCCAGGUGAUGCUAAUGCUUCAAGCCUAUGAACUUGAUGCUAAUGCUUCAAGUUGGGAAUGACCAACUGAGAAAUACCGCUUUAGAACAUGAUCCUUAUUUUCUUUUUUUUUUUCUCAGAGAACAGGCUCUAGGCCUUGUGGGCUUCAGUAGUUGUGGUUUUCAGGCUCUAGAGCACAGGUCCAACAGUUGUGGAGCAUGGGCUUAAAUGCUCCAUGGCAUGUGGGAUCUUCCGAGAUCAGGGAUUGAACCUAUGUCUCCUGCACUGCAAGCAUAUUCUUUACCACUGAACCAC